UACGGAGGGGGCUAGCGUUGUUCGGAAUUACUGGGCGUAAAGCGCGCGUAGGCGGCUUUGUAAGUUAGAGGUGAAAGCCCGGGGCUCAACCCCGGAACUGCCUUUAAGACUGCAUCGCUUGAAUCCAGGAGAGGUGAGUGGAAUUCCGAGUGUAGAGGUGAAAUUCGUAGAUAUUCGGAAGAACACCAGUGGCGAAGGCGGCUCACUGGACCGGUAUUGACGCUGAGGUGCGAAAGCGUGGGGAGCAAACAGG
RNAcentral lists this ribosomal RNA (253 nucleotides) under uncultured bacterium. RNAcentral's name for it is "partial 16S ribosomal RNA". It matches the Rfam family "Bacterial small subunit ribosomal RNA", at positions 524 to 776 of the family's 1533-position model. The record is from RNAcentral.